UACGUAGGGCGCAAGCGUUAUCCGGAAUUAUUGGGCGUAAAGAGCUCGUAGGCGGUUUGUCGCGUCUGCCGUGAAAGUCCGGGGCUCAACUCCGGAUCUGCGGUGGGUACGGGCAGACUAGAGUGAUGUAGGGGAGACUGGAAUUCCUGGUGUAGCGGUGAAAUGCGCAGAUAUCAGGAGGAACACCGAUGGCGAAGGCAGGUCUCUGGGCCUGUACUGACGCUGAGGAGCGAAAGCGUGGGGAGCGAACAGG
Molecule: ribosomal RNA, 253 nt
Filed under: uncultured bacterium
Lineage: Bacteria
Description: partial 16S ribosomal RNA
Rfam family: Bacterial small subunit ribosomal RNA
Source: RNAcentral